UCUCAAAUGAAGAACAUAUCACUUUCUCUCUCUGCUAUUUUUUUCUUUUUUGAAAGCAUUUCUUAAAUGAAGAACAGAUUCAUGUUUUACCUUAUUUCCUUCUUAUUACAUGUUUUACCUACUCUCCUUAUUACAUGUUUUACCUUCUCUCCUUCUUAUUACAUUUCUCAAAUGAAGAACAGAUCCAUGUUUUAAUUUUUUGAAGCAUUUCUCAAAUGAAGAACAUAUUUUACUUCCCAAAAAUCCAGAGAGAUAGAUGGUUAGAGAGAGAAGAUCAGAGAGAUAGAGGCAAUGAGGAUCGGUGAGAGAGGCAGUGAAGAUCGGAGAAAGAUCAGAAGAUCGAACAGGUGUUCCAUACAACAUCAGAUUCAGAUCUGGUUCAAGUGGUGGAGGUGACGGUGGUUCCUCCUGCCGGAAAACCACUUAGUAGUUACUUGGCGGUGGUGGUCCAUGAGUGACGUGAAGCAUGAUGUGGUUCAUAUGACGGUUCGAUGUUUCAGAUUACGGGGUCGAUGUUGAACAACUGGUUAAGAUCUGAAGCAUUUUUGUAAUUGUAUGUUACAUUUUUUGAUCUUGUAAAAAGUGGGUUUUAUUGUUCCAGAUCUAAAAGAUGAUCCGAAAUCUAAAAAGAUGAUCGAGUUCCAAGAUGCUACCAGAUCCAAAAGAUGCUCCAGAUCCAGUUGAAGAUGUUCGAUGUUGAAGAUGAUAUUCCAUAUAACGGUUCGAUGUUGAAGAUGAUCCAAAAGAUGUUCGAUGUUGAACAUGAUGUUCUAGAUCUAAAAGAUCCUAGAGAUCCAUAAGUACGUUUGUUUUCAGGGGUUUUUUUCAGAUUUGCAUUUUUUUUUUGUGUUUUGUAGAUAUUCAUUUUUUGUGUUUUGUAGAUCUGCAACUUUUUUUUAUUUUUUUUUGUUCAAGAAGAUGAAUGUUUUUUAGUUCUUGUUUUCUGGA
This is a long non-coding RNA of Helianthus annuus (common sunflower), 948 nucleotides long. RefSeq lists it as uncharacterized. Lineage: Eukaryota; Viridiplantae; Streptophyta; Magnoliopsida; Asterales; Asteraceae. The record is from RefSeq and is a predicted model, not a curated record. The transcript has 2 exons.